Molecule: non-coding RNA, 29 nt
Filed under: Homo sapiens (human)
Lineage: Eukaryota; Metazoa; Chordata; Mammalia; Primates; Hominidae
Source: RNAcentral
UGUGUGUGCACAUGUGAGUGUGAGUGUGU